Eurytemora carolleeae is the source of this 1458-nucleotide RNA transcript. It is a transcript of the gene named rab-like protein 3, with no coding region annotated. The record is from RefSeq and is a predicted model, not a curated record. The transcript is spliced from 12 exons. NCBI's taxonomy places the organism in Eukaryota, Metazoa, Arthropoda, Copepoda, Calanoida, Temoridae.
UGUCGUCUUACUCUCUUUUUAUUACAUAUUUUCUUAAUUAAAAGGAAGAACAAUUAAAAGAAAGGACGCAAGUGACAGUAAUUCGAUAGCAUUAUGGAAACGUAAAAAAGUUAUUAAAAAUUUUAUUUUUAGUAUUGUCAGAUAAAUAGUUACCAAAAUGUUUAAAAUAAAUUCUUGUGAUAAAAUAUUGUAAAUAAAAAAUAAAUUUCAAUUUCGAAACAAUACUGUGAUGGUCGGCAAGAAAUUUUUUAUUUUAAUGAAAUUAUACAUUUAUGUAUGUUUCAGAGAAAAUAAGAAAAUAAUGAGAUGAGUGAUCUUGAAAGAGUUCGAGUUUUAGUUGUUGGGGACAGUGGUGUCGGAAAAACUGCUCUUACCAACCUAAUCUGUCACGGAGCAGCUUUGAAUAAUCCAGGCUGGACAGUUGGAUGUUCUGUUGAGGUUAAACUUCAUGAAUACCUGGAGGGAACUGUCAAUCAGAAAACGUACUGCAUUGAACUUUGGGAUAUUGGGGGCAGUCAUGCGCAUAGAAAUACGCGGCAUGUAUUUUAUAAUGUAGUACAUGGUAUAAUCCUGGUACAUGAUCUCUCAAACCGGAAAUCCUGUUUGAACCUGAACCGUUGGCUAGCUGAGGUGACAAGAUGUGAGUCUGGAUCCGGCAAAUUUGGAUCCCGAGGCGGAGGAGGCGGAGGAACAGCCGCCGCCUGGGAGGAUGGAAAUAUAUCAGGGACGGAUAUCGGAGAGGUUGCUAUCCCUCUACUAGUGAUGGGAACUAAAAUGGAUUCUGCUCAAGAAAAACGUGGUCUCCCAACUCAUCAGAAAAGAUCUGAUAUUGCGGAGGAAUUCGGAGUUGAAGAAAUUCAUCUUAACACUGGAGAUCCAAGUGGACUUGCUGCAGGAACAAGCUCUGCUGCUAAACUUACAAGGUUUUUCGAUAAGGUGAUAGAAAAACAGUUUACUGAUUCUAGAAGAAAAGGAAGUUUAACGCAUAUACAACCAACCGACAGACGGCGUAUGGAGAAGGUGCCGAGUGUCCUCUCAGACCGCACUUCAAGUCUCCAGUUUUCUUCUGUUUUGCAUUAACCUGCCUCGAUAAUUCUAUAUCCGACCUCCAGAUCAGAUUAUUCUAUAUCCGACCUCCAGAUCAGAUUAUUCUAUAUCCGACCUCCAGAUCAGAUUAUUCUAUAUCCGACCUCCAGAUCACAUUAUUCUAUAUCCGACCUCCAGAUCAGAUUAUUCAAUAUCCGACCUCCAGAUCAGAUUAUUCUAUAUCCGACCUGCAGAUCAGAUUAGAGAAUUUAUUUAUUUAGAAAAAUUGUAACAUUUUAAGCGAAAUAUGAUUGUUGAUGAAUAUCAGGUAUGUUUGCCGCUAGCUUUUACACUCUGCACAGUAUGUACAGUAUGUACAGUGUACACAAUUAUUCAAUGUGUCCUCAUAUCUAUAUAUAUAUACUUUGCUGC